RNAcentral lists this ribosomal RNA (497 nucleotides) under uncultured bacterium. RNAcentral describes it as "partial 16S ribosomal RNA". It matches the Rfam family "Bacterial small subunit ribosomal RNA", at positions 28 to 507 of the family's 1533-position model. The record is from RNAcentral.
GAUGAACGCUGGCGGCGUGCCUAAUACAUGCAAGUCGAGCGAACAGACGAGGAGCUUGCUCCUCUGACGUUAGCGGCGGACGGGUGAGUAACACGUGGAUAACCUACCUAUAAGACUGGGAUAACUUCGGGAAACCGGAGCUAAUACCGGAUAACAUGUUGAACCGCAUGGUUCAACAGUGAAAGACGGUCUUGCUGUCACUUAUAGAUGGAUCCGCGCCGCAUUAGCUAGUUGGUAAGGUAACGGCUUACCAAGGCAACGAUGCGUAGCCGAACUGAGAGAGUGAUCGGCCGCACUGGAGCUGAGACACGGUCCAGGCGCCUACGGGAGGCAGCAGUAGGGAAUGUUCGGCAGUGGGCGAAAGCCUGACGGAGCAACGCCGCGUGAGUGAAGAAGGUCUUCGGAUCGUAAAGCUCUGUUAUUGGGGAAAAACAAAUGUGUAAGUAACUAUGCACGUCUUGACGGUACCUAAUCAGAAAGCCACGGCUAACUACGUG